CUGAUGGAAAUGCAUGGGUCAUGGUAACAUGAUAAAAUAACCUACAGGCCAACCACUAAAAAUGGAAAAGUGUUCUAACACAUGAUAAAUUGUCAUCUUCAUUUAUUGCAAAACAAGGUUGAAAAUACUAACAAGAAGCCAAGUUCAACUUCAUUUUAAGAGGCGUGUUCUGACAUUUCACUAUCUUUUAUAAUUAAAAAAUCAAGAAUAAGCAGAUCAAGAUGAAACUAUGAACAAUGAAUUUCUCCAUGGGGUUUGCAUGGUAAGGAGUUUUGGCAUUUCACUUAUUGGUCUGUGUGUCACUUUAAAAGAAAAACCAAGUAUAAAACUAAGUCAUUUCUCCAUGGGGUCGGUAGCCAUGACAGGUUUUGGCAUUUCACCAUCAUCAGCGAUGGGUACUCUUGUACAGACCGAACAGUAAGGGCUGGCAAAUCAAAAUGAUCAGAAAGAAUCAAAUUGUUUUUAAAAUGUAUUUGCAAAUUUAUUUGUUACUCAAGACUUAGUUCAUCAAAUGAACAGGCCAGGAUAACACCUGUACCAUCUGACAAACAAAACAGAUAAGAUAGGGAGGCCAAAAUGAUCAAUAAUGACCAAACUAAGAGUAAAUUUAAAUUUACUUUAUUUACUACAAUUAAAAAGUGAACAAGAAAUAUGAGACAAAAAGCUAAGUUUGAGGCUUAGUAGAUCAAAUGAACAGAUUAUAUUAGGACAUGCCUAGAUUGUUUGACAAACCAAAACAGAGAGAAUAGGCAAGACAAACUGAUCACAAACGAUCAAACUAAAAUAAAUUAAUAACUUCAUUUUUUGCAAUUUAACAUUGAAGAAGAAAAUAAUACACAAAAAGCCUGGUCCCACACUUAAUUCAUAUAAAGAAUAAGAUAGGACAAUAUAUGCGCCACCUGAAAAAAUGUUCAAAGGGUACACACACCGAUGAAAAUGGUGAAAUGUCAGAAUACGAAUAACUUAAGGUUCAACUAAGUUUCAAACAAAAAAUAAAUAUUUUAAUUAAUCAUGUGUUCAGAAAGUUGAAAUUUAAAGAAUUUUUUCAUAUUUUGAUUACAUUUUUGGUUUUUUCUGUUAUAGUGAGACAUAGACCAUCAAAUGAAAAUGGUGAAAGCCAACCAGUGAAGAUGGUGAAAUGUCUGAACACGCCUUGAUGACAAUUUCAAUUAAAUUAUAACAUUAAUUUGAAAUGAGAUGCAAAAGUGGUAGAUGGAGUUGUUCAUUUGUCAUAUGUCACAUUUCAAUUUAUUUCAUAGUGACAAUGUUGUGAUUUAGAUUUCAUGAUUAGGCUAGAUUAAAAAAUAAAAGAGGAUCUCGACAAUGAGGGUAGAGACAAUCGAGUCUAGAAGUGAACAAGUCGAUUCCGUGUAGAUGAGAGACACAAAGAAGUGUGCAAUCCUGAAAAGAAUUUAAAAAGUGUUGAAUUCCCUAAAAUAAAGUGCUUCGAUCCACAGCAGAUUGACUAAAUACUAUUAGAUGUUAACCCUGAAGAAACUGAGGAGGAUUGGGCUGUUCUAGAUCUAGGCGCACGAAGGAAAGGAAGGUGUGCUGUUAUCAAAACAUCCACAAGAUAGGUGUUUUUUAUAAUAAAUUACAUAAUUGUUA
This 1608-nucleotide long non-coding RNA is filed under the name Cimex lectularius (bed bug). RNAcentral describes it as "uncharacterized LOC112127605, transcript variant X2". The record is from RNAcentral. Lineage: Eukaryota; Metazoa; Arthropoda; Insecta; Hemiptera; Cimicidae.